GUACGGGAGGCAGCAGGCGCGAAAACUUUACAAUGCUGGAAACAGCGAUAGGGGGACUUCGAGUGCCAGGAUACAAUCUUGGCUGUCGUCGUGCCUAAAAAGCACGGCAUAGCAAGGGCCGGGCAAGACCGGUGCCAGCCGCCGCGGUAACACCGGCGGCUCGAGUGGUAACCGCUAUUAUUGGGUCUAAAGGGUCUGUAGCCGGCUGAAAAAGUCUCUUGGGAAAUCUGGCCGCUUAACGGUCAGGCUUUCAGGAGAUACUCUUCGGCUCGAGACCGGGAGAGGUGAGAGGUACUUCAUGGGUAGGGGUGAAAUCUUGUAAUCCUUGAAGGACCACCAGUGGCGAAGGCGUCUCACCAGAACGGGUCUGACGGCAAGGGACGAAAGCUAGGGGCACGAACCGGAUUAGAAACCCUAGUAGUCCU
RNAcentral lists this ribosomal RNA (425 nucleotides) under uncultured bacterium. RNAcentral describes it as "bacterial SSU rRNA". It matches the Rfam family "Archaeal small subunit ribosomal RNA", at positions 323 to 748 of the family's 1478-position model. The record is from RNAcentral.